ACGAGAGUCCGCCACCGAGAGAUCCUUCCGCCACCAGAAAGGGAAGAGCGAGCGCGAAGCUGCCUUCUUCUUUUUCAUUGGAGGCGUAUCCCUCCGCUGCUGGAAUUGAAUGAGGCGAGGAUGGAGAAAAGGCAACCGCUGCAUCCGCGCGCACACGCGCGCGCACCCGUUAAACCGCUGCAGUAACGGGCGGAGGCGGGAGCGCGCCUAGGCCUGGCCAAAAAGAGAAAUGUCUUCUGUCUCUGAGGGGGAAAAAAACAAGGACGCAUGUCUGAAAAAGAAGAGGGGGGAUGGAGGGAGUAUAUUUUACUACACAGCCAGGUACAAAAAAGGAGGAAGCUAGAAAAAAACCACAAGUUCCUGUUCCUUAGCCAAAAGCCAGGAAAAAAACAGGCCAGUUGGGGUGGAACAGCAGCUACUAUCAAGUUAGCCUUGGCUGUUCACAUGCUUGAAAGUAGCCCCAAUCUAGCCUCAUAGGGAAGAACUAAUGAAAGAGCGAACCCUCCAUAAAAUGAAUAGAACUUAUCUGUAAUCUGCAGGUGUUGAAAGAAUAAGUCAUCAAAAACUGAGAUAUCAAAAGAUGCAGGAAGCCUGUAUAGCUUUUUUCCUGUUAUAGAAGAAGAAAUCCUACUAUAUCACGAUACAAUAUCUUCACCAGCAUCCAGUUUCAGCUUCCCUCAAGGUUAGCUAGGCCUAGUCCUACAGUAAGAUAAGCCUCGGGUUUCAAGUCCUGGAAAGCAGUGGUUGCAGCCCCCACUGCCUAGUUAUUUCUUUUGAGUAGGGUCCCCAUAUAUAAGGUCUUCAAACUUUUCUUCCUGAUCUUAGGGUGAGGGGAAGGAAUCUCAAGAUCAAAAUGUUGAACAGUGUGUGUACAUCUAUACUUUUUCAUUAUUUUUACUUGGAAAAUGUGCAUGAAUGGUAUACUCAAUUACAAUAAGCAAGCUAACAAUAUGCCAAACUCAUGCUUGCAUUGACAAGCCCAGGCAAGCUGGGAAAUCUGUAGAAUAGCUCUUGACGGAAAACUCUGACCAUUUGUGACAAAUUUUCCUAUAAACAUGUAAUAAAAUAUUUCAUUAAGUGUUUCAUUAAGCCUAUUCCCUGGGUUGAAAGUUACCAGAUUGGACUUGCAACAGGGGCCCUGUAACUUUAAUCCUUAACAAAUCUUGGAGCAGGGUGAGAUACCAUAAAGCCAUUCCCUCCCAACGUGGCUAUUGCACUGGUAAAAGGCUUCAGGAGGGAGCAUGGAGGAGACCCCCACCUUGUUCUUAUUACCCAGCUGUUUUUGUGGCUGGACUGCCCUCCAUGUUCUGUAUUUGCUAAUGUAAGCAUGAGCUUAACCUAUAGUGUGGGUUUAGCCCAGCUUGCUGUUUACCUAAGCAGCCCGAAAAACAGGAAAUUUAGGUACGUUUUAUUUGGGAGGCUAAUUUAACUAAUUUACAACACCAUAAAACUGCCACCAGCACGGGGAAAGAAAUGAGGAAGUACAGUACUCGGUGUCACUAGUGGACGGUGAAGCAACAGCUCCCCCUGUGGAUGGAAUCAAGCAUACCCUCAUGAAACUGGAAAUGUUAAAUUGCCUCUGUGUGUGUCUAUACUGUAUGUUGUUUGUCUGAUGGCAUUGAAUGUUUGCUAUAUAUAUGUGCAUUAUAAUCCGCCCUGAGUCCCCUUCAGGUUGAGAAGGGCGGAAUAUAAAUACUGCAAAUAAAUAAAUAAAUAAAUAUGAUAGCUAUCCCA
This is a long non-coding RNA of Anolis carolinensis (green anole), 1734 nucleotides long. RefSeq lists it as uncharacterized. Lineage: Eukaryota; Metazoa; Chordata; Lepidosauria; Squamata; Anolidae. The record is from RefSeq and is a predicted model, not a curated record. The transcript is spliced from 3 exons.